RNAcentral lists this long non-coding RNA (2147 nucleotides) under Bemisia tabaci. RNAcentral's name for it is "lncRNA ENSSWEETPG004444". The record is from RNAcentral. Lineage: Eukaryota; Metazoa; Arthropoda; Insecta; Hemiptera; Aleyrodidae.
CAACCACCAACGUUUAAAAUUGACAUUGAGUAAGGUCACGGCAAAGAAAGCGUGUGCGCACGAGAACUCCUCUCCUGCGGGGGAGCCCUGACUCUUGCAAUUCCAGCAAAUAAACUCACAGUAAUAUUUCCGAAACUUCGAAAGUUUUCCAAUUCUUCAAAUCGUUUCAUCAGUGCGGGUAUCAAAUGAAAAUAAUUCCUCCUAUUCAAUCCCAUAAAAAUAAAAUAAUAAAUCAGCGUGGCAUUAAAGCUGUCACAUACGCGCAGCGGCAAACAUCUCUCACUCGCUCUUGAAGAGGAGUGUAGGUCAAAUAUUAUCGAUUACCUUAGCGCACGGCGCUACGUCCCUUAAGAUUCGCUCGACUGCGCAUACCCCGCGUGUGCUGUUUUCAUCCCUUCGUCGCGGUUUAGCUUGUUUUCCCUCAUGAAUUAAGCGGCAAACUCUCUGAAUCUCGUGUUAUUCCAGGCGAGAUAAACCCUUUUCAUUCCUUUAAAAGUGUUGUUUAUAAGUUCAUCAAAAUUUCGUUCCUCAAAAAGUUUAUUAAGCGGAGAUUCAAGUGGAAAAUGGACGAUUUGAACAAAACGGCAGAGGACGACGACAAAGAUCUGCGGAAAAAAAAUAAAGGGACUAAGCUCCCAGUAUUCGGUUUCAAAGAGCACAAUGGCAAAUCCGGGUUGCCGGUUCCCAUCAGCCAUACUGCUCCCAAAAAUAUUCGUCCAGUCUCCGCUUCUCAAAGACCACUCACUCCCAAAUUCCGCAAGAAACACGUCGUCCAGCCACAAGCAGAUAUCAUCAGGAAAACUCCUGAGAAUGCAACAUUAAAUCGAUUCGGAUUUCAAAGUAACGCACAAGUUGGUCCUGCACACAAAGCAACAGAGUCGAAGAAAAUCAGUGACGAUGGAUCAGUUAGAGUCAAGAUUAAUAAUUUAACCACACCUACAGGAGCUAUGGUAACGACGAGUAAGUUCAGGGAGACCCAUUUUCAGUCGGACUACUUGAGCCCGGGAGUUCGGUGUAGCACGCCGAGCGUCGUGAAAGCAGCGGUCAAAACUAGCGUGACGGCGGCCCCGGCCAAAGUGACAUUGCUCUCGAGUCACUUGCCCAGGCCGCAGCUCCCGGUCAAGCUGAGCCGACCCAACAGCGCCACCCUUAUCGCACCGUCCGUGAAUCACGGGAGUCCCAAGUAUGCCAAAACUGUCGCCAACAAUGAGGCCAAAGCUCGCUCCAGAAGCUGCCCGAAAACAAGACCAAUGGACAAGAAGACCAACAACAACCAAAAUCGAUUUGAAAUGAGCACAGUGAGGGACGGACUUGAGGUCACGGAGAUGAUUCCAUUACCAGGUUUUCGAAAUUGGCCCACCAAUUCAGCUGCCCCGAUCAAGCAAAAUCAAGAUCAAAGGUCGCUAAUAAAUAAACGGGCAGAGACAAAUAAUUUCGAGUUCAGCAGUUCAUCGGACGAGGAAGACUCUACAACCCAUGGGGAGGAAAAAAUGAGCAGGGACUUGAUGCGGAACGAGAAGAGUGGUAUGUCCCUCGCACUGUUAGGAUGUGAUCAGUGGAACGAAGGCGAGUGUGAGGGAGAAGCCAUGGCGACGGACUUGUUACCGGAGGGUGCCACCCCUGAUGACAUCGGAGACAAAUCAGUUAUACCAGGAAUCGAUCAGCCCUUAAGAUCAGUCCUUUUGACGAUUGAGGACCAAGCGUUUGCUGUCUUGGCUGCUUUGAACUCCACUGAACUUAUCGAGGAUGAGCAAUCACCUGAGGACUUGAUGAGCAUCUCACCUCCCCUCUCUGAGGCCAAUGAUCUUCCGUCUUCCAAACCAACAAGUCUGGACCUGGACAAAGCAGUCAAGUCUGCGGCGGGCGGGGGAGGCUCUGGAAGCGGGAGCCCUUGCACGCCAACUCACCCCUCGCACUCGCUGUCCAUCUGCUCGGACGAGCGGGACUACUUCGACGACGAGAUCGCCGACCAGCCGGGCCUCGUCUUCGAUGACGACACCGAGCCAAUCUCCGUCUCCGCGGGCCCCCUGUCUUCCGCCGCCACCGACGAGCCCCCCACCACGGUCCUCGACAACCCCGCCCCGGCCCCGCCCUCACACAACCCCCCACCCCCAACAGGAAUGGCAUCCUCACACAGGAAAACCUAG